This 1669-nucleotide long non-coding RNA is filed under the name Homo sapiens (human). RNAcentral describes it as "HSALNT0077324". Lineage: Eukaryota; Metazoa; Chordata; Mammalia; Primates; Hominidae. The record is from RNAcentral.
CAAAGAUACAGAGAAAACCGCCGAUUUUUAUGCUUAGAUUUGAUGAAGAGUGGAUAGCUGUGUAGAAAUCUGAUUGGACAAAGAGGGUAUGAUCUAAUAGUAGUAUACUGAGUGGGAAAACCCAGCAAGGCCUGUCUGUUUGGAUUUUUCUUGGCUUCUUUGUGUAACAUUCUUUCCUCCUGGGUAUGGAUCAGUAUCCUUUCUGGAAUGGGGCUCUCAUAACCUACUGUUCAACAAGCUACUCUUUAGAGGUAUGAUGGAUCUCCCCACAAAGUCUGGUUCAGGUGUCAAGACCUACACACCAAGAAACGAUGAGAAGAAUUAUCAUUCACAUGAGACUUUCUGGGGCAAGCAGAGUGGCUACCAAACAGGUCUUAAAAUGGCUUGAGAAAUCCAGAGAUUUGAAGUUCAGGAUAGAAAACAGCAUCAAUAUUAUCAGAAUGCACAAGCCACGAACCCCAUUGCCAGACUGCUUGUUACAUGUUGUAGAGGCUGGGAAGUCCAAGGUCAUGGUGCCAACAGACUUGGUGUCUGGAGAGGGCUGCUCUCUGCUUCCAACAUGGUGUCUUCUCGCAGUGUCAUGUCCUCCUGACGGAAGGAAUGCUGUGUCUCACAUGGUGACAGGAAUUGAAGGACAAAAAUGGCUGAACACUUUGUGAAGCCUCAUUUAUAAAUGUCUUAAUCUCAUUCGUGAGGACUCUACCCUCAUGAAAACUUAAUCACUUCCUAAAGGACUUGCCUCUUAAUACUAUCACAUUAUCAAUUAAGUUUCAACACAUGACUUGAGGGACAUUCAGACCAUAGUACUUCCCUAGUUAGGAGACUAAACAAAGACAGGAGCAAGAAGAGGAGUCUCAUUUGCAGAAGAAAUGUCUGUUUCUCACUUGGCAUUGCAUAAGACUUAUCUGAGAGUGCCCAAUGUCACACAUCUAUGGUAAGAAGAGAAGAUACUGAUCAGAAGGGCCUGGAGGCUUUAUGAAGCAACAGUCUGAAAAGUCCUUGCAGGAAAUAGGCAAGGCUAUCCUGGAAGGACUCCUAGAUACAUGGCCUGGAUACAGCAAGAGGUGAAUGUCCUGGGUGCCUACAGCAGAGGCACACUUGGUAGUGUAGGCCUGCUAUCAACCCUACACCCUUGAAUCCUACAGACCAUUGGCAUGACAGCAGACAGAUCACUGGCAGGCAAGAUUUGAUGGAAGAACCAUGUAUCCGCCGCAAACGCAAGACUCAUCCGAGGAGCACUAGUAGCCUAGAGCCCUGAAUUCAUCCUGUGCCUGAUGUGAAAGUCACCCAAAAUCAACAUUUCUGUACCAUUCUGGUGGCCCAAUCUCAUAUAAUCACUUGAAAGGAAUAGCACACUGACUAAUCAAAGCCAUCAGCUCAUCAGCCACUGUUCCGGAAUCGAGGUCCACCCAUGGACUCCCAGAAGAACCCCUUAAGUAUUAGUACUGGAACUCCUCUAUGCACUUGAUCCACAUAAAGUACGUGUGUGUGGGCAGGGAGGGCUUGUAGAGGAUCAGAAAGUGCCUUACAGGAGAGAAACAGAGACCAAGACUAGGGAACCCUUUCUGCUGGAGGGGCAUCUAGACAUUUUGAAGAAACACACGAAAGAAUAGAGCCCCUGAGGUCACAUCCAGAUUUCAGUUUCUCUUCGGGAGUCUAAGAGACUGUU